This 482-nucleotide ribosomal RNA is filed under the name uncultured bacterium. RNAcentral's name for it is "bacterial SSU rRNA". It matches the Rfam family "Bacterial small subunit ribosomal RNA", at positions 8 to 526 of the family's 1533-position model. The record is from RNAcentral.
AGAGUUUGAUCAUGGCUCAGAUUGAACGCUGGCGGCAUGGCUAAAACAUGCAAGUCGAACGCGAAAGGGGGCAACCCCAAGUAGAGUGGCGAAAGGGCGAGGAAUAGAUUUCUACGUACCCCAAGGUCGAGGACAAUCAGGGGAAACUCUGACUAAUACUCGAUAAUGUGGUGACACCAAAGGCUUGCUGCCUUGGGAGCGGGGAAUCUCCUAUCAGGUAGUUGGUGAGGUAAUGGCUCACCAAGCCAAAGACGGGUAGCGGGUGUGAGAGCACGGCCCGCCGCAUCGGGACUGAGACACUGCCCGGACUCCUACGGGAGGCUGCAGUAACGAAUCUUCCGCAAUGCGCGAAAGCGUGACGGGGCAAUGCCGCGUGCAGGAUGAAGCCCCUCGGGGUGUAAACUGCUGUCAGGGUCUACCAACACAAUGAGGAAACCCAAAGGAAGCACCGGCUAACUCUGUGCCAGCCGCCGCGGUAAUAC